Camelus ferus (Wild Bactrian camel) is the source of this 72-nucleotide transfer RNA. It matches the Rfam family "tRNA". From Rfam's summary of the family: Transfer RNA (tRNA) molecules are approximately 80 nucleotides in length. Their secondary structure includes four short double-helical elements and three loops (D, anti-codon, and T loops). NCBI's taxonomy places the organism in Eukaryota, Metazoa, Chordata, Mammalia, Artiodactyla, Camelidae. The record is from Rfam.
GUGGGUAGAGCUCAGUGGCAGAGCACGUGCUUGGCAUGCAUCAGGUCCCGGGUUCAAUCCCCAGCACCUCUG